AAAAAAAAAAAUAAGAGAGAAGCGAGAAAGGAAGGAAAAACGUAGAGAAAAGCUGUACAAUUCUCGCGUAAGAAGCGACGCGUGUCACGUUCGUUUCGCGAAACGCUUUUCAACCCUUUCGAGAUAUGCGACCGAGCGUCGUCGACACGUUUCUUGCCGAUAUUUUUCUGGGUUUUAUUUAUUUAGAAGUUCUUUCUUCAUCAACCGUCCCGGACGUGAAAGCACGACGAAAGAAACACGAUCGAUGACGCGCGAGGUCCACGGGGGGUUAUUGAGCGAAAAGGACGAAACGUACGCGAUUCGUGCGAAAGGGAAAUGGCGAUAUCCCGAAGGGGGAUGUGACGUAUCGAAGGAACGAGCAGAAGUUCCCUCGACGAGAGACGAAGGUGCAUGCACGUCGUCUGCGUGAAUGUCAGAAACGCGAGAAGGCGUAGAAAGGAAAUUUCUGACAGAAAAUCCCGUCUGCGUUGGCGGCGGUGGAUAGAAACUCUCUGCUCGUUGUUGAGAGUUCUGCUCGUUUCUUUUUACUAACGCUGCAACUACCAGCGGACAGGGUGGGAAGUAUUGCGCCAGAGAGAGAGAGAGAGAGAGAGAGAGAGAGAGAGAGAGAGAAAGAGAGAGAGAGAGAAAGCGCGAGAGAGUGAGAGUGAGAGAGUGAGAGAGAGUGAAAGGAAGCAGUAACAGGGCGAUAGAGAUCAUUACGGAAGGCAAAGUAAAAUAAAAUAAAAUAAAAUAAAAAAUAAAAUAAGGGACAAAAAAAAAAAUGAUUCGCGACGUUGUGGAAUCUUUCGUGGACAAUCACGGCCCGACUAUAAUUGUAAUUGUAAAACAAAGUGCAACACGCUGCCUUGCUGAACAGUACAAGUACAAAACGAAUACAAAUACAUAAAACAUGUCUUCGAUUUAAUGGAUGGAAAUACGAUUCCGGUAGUUAAGAUAUCAAAAAAAAAAAAAAAAGAGUACGAGAGAAAAAAAAGGAGAAGAAAAAAAAUGAUUUAAAUAAGUAAAUAAAUAAAUAGGGGGAGAAGAAAGAGAGGAUGACGAAGGGGAAUGAACAAAGCGUUUUAAUCGUAGGGAAAUGGGAAAGAGAAAAAACGAGCCUCCGUUGUAUGUAAGCAACGCCGCUGUUCGUCGAAGCGUGUUAUAGGACGAGAGAAAUGCGACACGGCGUGCGUUCGUUCAGAAAUACCUCAGUUGCCGUGGCCUCAGACACACACACACACAAACACACAUACACAUACAUAUAUACACACACACAAAAAGAAAAGAAAAGAAAAACGAAAAAGAAAAACGCGCGUAACCGUUCGUUUCGAUCACGCGUCUUAUCUAUAUUAUGUCCGUCGUUGUAUCGAUCGCUAAGAGAGGCUUCCUUGUAAAUUUUUUGUACGUACAAUUUUCAACGCCGAACGAAACGAACCUGGAACAGGAACAGGAACAGGAACAAUUCGCUCUGUGUAAUCCAUUCGCGUGUCUUUCCUUUCCUUUCGUUUCUCGUUCCGCUUUUUGUGAACA
Molecule: long non-coding RNA, 1512 nt
Organism: Frieseomelitta varia
Lineage: Eukaryota; Metazoa; Arthropoda; Insecta; Hymenoptera; Apidae
Exons: 2
Source: RefSeq, a predicted model, not a curated record